Acinonyx jubatus (cheetah) is the source of this 1298-nucleotide long non-coding RNA. RefSeq lists it as uncharacterized. The record is from RefSeq and is a predicted model, not a curated record. The transcript has 6 exons. NCBI's taxonomy places the organism in Eukaryota, Metazoa, Chordata, Mammalia, Carnivora, Felidae.
GGACUUGUUAACUUUCUGUGGCUGUAAGCCAGACUAGUGAAGAUACUGGAACUGGGACUUAGGGGAGAGAUCAGAGCAAGAGGCAGGAGUUUAGAACAUUGGGACUGUGAUAGAAGCCAUGGUAGCGAUGAGAUCACACAGAAAGAGUGCAUACAGUAAGAAGAACAGAAGGCCCAGGAGGAAUUCCUGGGGAGAGAUGGACAGAGUAGGGAAACCAUGAGGAAAGGAAAGGACACCCAGGAGGAGGAGGAGGACCAAGAAAGAGUGACAUAACAGUCAUUGUCAGGGAUGGCACAUGGACUAUCUCCUAUAACGCUUCCAACAGCUGCAUGUUUCAGGGACUGGACUAUGUCUACUCAUUGAGGAUAUUACAGUUAUCUGACCAGGGACCCAGACAAAAGUGUUCUGGGUCACACUUGGAGGAAGGCUGCCGCGCUGGGUUCCUGUCUGUGAGGCUUGCAUGAAUAGGACCGCAAUGAACACAGAAAGGUGAGAAAACUGAGGGUUAAGACGGUUCCAUAUUUGCCCAUGGUCACAGAGAUAGGAGGGGGUCAGGCUGCGGCUUGAAUCCAGAUUAUAUAACUCUACAACCCACACGAGUAAUUGUUUCUCUGCAUUGCUUCUAGGAAGGACCAGACGGAGGCUUGUUGCCAGCUCCGGGUAAAACAUCGUCUCUAGCCCAGGCAGACAAGGUCGCUGGACAUUGUCUGAAUUCUAACUGCUGAGAAGGAAGUAGAAGGAGGGGAAGCCCAAGGGGACACUGAAGGCUGUCCUUGUGAUUAAAAUGAACCCAUGAAUGGCCCCAUUUUGGGGCUCAGCCCUGCACCAGCCACUUUCAUAUGCCAUGCCACUUACUCCAAACUUCUGGACUUGAUGCUAUUUUUCCAUGUUAUACAUCAGGAAAAUGAGAAGUAAGAAGUUAAAGCAAUUAAUGUGGUGGCCUAGGCUAUGGUUCAGAUCUACUGAAAAUCCAAGCUUUCGACAUGAGAUACAAAAAGGUGCCCUUCCACUCUGGGCCCCACGCUACUGAAGGCAAUACAUACCGGUGAGAGCCUAGAGGCACAAGAGAUACUUUACUAAUAAAGUGCUUCCUGAGCUAGACACGCUUAUUUGGCUGAAGUCUUUUCUUAUGAAAACGAAGAGCCAACCUGAAGACAGAGCCCUGCCCACUUGAGAAAUAACCAGGGGAGAGACUGUGCCCCUCCAACACAUCCUGCCCAGGGCCUGUGGAUGGCCUGCUCUUGGAAUGAAGAUGGACACGAUGGAAUUUCAAAGUGAAUAAAAACAUCAAAAUGUGA